Archocentrus centrarchus (flier cichlid) is the source of this 786-nucleotide long non-coding RNA. RefSeq lists it as uncharacterized. NCBI's taxonomy places the organism in Eukaryota, Metazoa, Chordata, Actinopteri, Cichliformes, Cichlidae. The record is from RefSeq and is a predicted model, not a curated record. The transcript has 5 exons.
CAUGAUGCUCACAGUCGCGGGUCACAUUUGAAAUUUAGCGAAGAACCUGGCAGCCAUGUUGGUUAAGAAGUGGACUGUACGUUAUUAUCAAUUGCAGUUUUUUAGAAGCCAAGCUGCAGUCAACACACAGAAGCAAAAGGUCCUCAUGUAAUUCACAAGGCUGAUGGACCUCAGUUCAUUCUAUGAGCAUCUGGACAGCUGUCUAUUCAGUGGUUCAGGUCAAAUGAGGGGGUUAAAGAAAUUACAUCCAUACUGGAACGUCUUCACAAGGAUGCAUCGAAUCAAAGACAGUUGGGCAGCAGCAUUGCAGAGCCUACCAGGGUACGUGAGGAAGAAUCCUGCAUUCCUGAAGAUGUGUGAGCCUACAGAUCCUGAAGACAACAUCAAGGGAAUGAUCACUGGAAUAUUUUAUUGGUUGAAGAUGAGAGGGAACCUCUUCCAGCUUCCUACAACGAUGUCGACAUUGUAAUCGAGGAAAAACUCGUCAUCCGUCACCUGCGUGAUGCCCCCAAUGCUUUUGUGAACCUGAUGGGACUGCUGAACAUUCUGAACCUUGAAUGUCCAAAAGACUUGAAGUACACUUUUGAGGUAAUCCAGCACCUUUUUAUGGGAGUGUACUGCAGGAGUCCACUCUGAAGAAUAAAUUGCUCAGGGAUGGGAAGAUGUUUCUGCACUUGUCGUAAAGUUACUGUACUCGUGAUGUUGUCCUUUGGUGCCAACAUCACUGAAGAGCUUUAUAAAUCUACUGCUACUACAUACUGCAGUUUAUUUUAUAUUCUGUGUGCU